RNAcentral lists this ribosomal RNA (473 nucleotides) under uncultured bacterium. RNAcentral's name for it is "bacterial SSU rRNA". It matches the Rfam family "Bacterial small subunit ribosomal RNA", at positions 30 to 482 of the family's 1533-position model. The record is from RNAcentral.
AUUGAACGCUGGCGGCGUGCCUAACACAUGCAAGUCGAGCGGUAACGCGGGAGCAAUCCUGGCGACGAGCGGCAGACGGGUGAGUAAUGCUUGGGUAUCUGCCCAAUAGUGGGGAAUAACCAGUCGAAAGACUGGCUAAUACCGCAUAAGCCCCCUCUUCUUCGGAAAGGGGGGAAAGGCGGGGGAGUCGCAAGACCUCGCGCUAAUGGAUGAGCCCAAGUCGGAUUAGCUAGUUGGUGAGGUAACGGCUCACCAAGGCGACGAUCCGUAGCUGGUCUGAGAGGACGACCAGCCACACCGGAACUGAGACACGGUCCGGACUCCUACGGGAGGCAGCAGUGGGAAUAUUGGACAAUGGGGGAAACCCUGAUCCAGCGGCGCCGCGUGUGUGAAGAAGGCCUGCGGGUUGUAAAGCACUUUUAGUGGGGAUGAAAAGCCUAGAGCUAAUAUCUCUGGGUCUUGACUUAACUCAC